RNAcentral lists this long non-coding RNA (263 nucleotides) under Equus caballus (horse). Its description in RNAcentral is "lncRNA (ENSECAG00000035509.3)". The record is from RNAcentral. Lineage: Eukaryota; Metazoa; Chordata; Mammalia; Perissodactyla; Equidae.
UGCCCCUUUUCCAUUUCCAUGAAGCUCCGGUAUAAAGAAAUAUCGACAUUGAUAGUUAUUUGCAUGCUUUGCAAAAAAAACCGUGAUGUCUGUUUAUAGUUACGUAGCUUGAACGCUGCUGAACACCUGUUUCCUCGGAGCAGCUCCAUCCAGGUUGAGAUACAAGCUCUAGGGCCUUGCUGCUCAAAGUACGAGCCAUUGACCAGCAGCAUCCACAUCAUUGGGAGCUUGCUAGAAACACAGUCUUGCACCUCGCCCCAGAC